AGAUAUUUUUGUCAGUGAGGAGAGGGGAAGAGGGUAGAGAUAGUUGAAAGUUCUCUUCUGAUUGUCUGCUGAGCAUAAGGGAGGUGGUGAUCAAGUAGACUUGAGGAAGGUGUAGAGAAUAGAAUGAAGCAAUGAUGGAGAUAGAAGAUUUUCAGGGUAGCAUCAAGGGCCCAGCCAAGAUGGAGACCAUGAUUUUGCAGUGGUCCAAUCCUGCUGUUUUGUGAUUUUUCUCCCUUCCCUCCAGUAGGGUACAGUAGCCAGGGUCAGGGGCACAGCAGGCAGAUGUUAGAAUGAUCCAGGGUUGAAAGUUUUGCCCAUUGGUUGUGACAGAAGAAAAGAGACAGAUCGUUGAGAGUAUUGGCUAGAUUGCGUUUGAGGUGAUGGAUCACUACAUGUAGGCCAGCAGGGAAGGAAGCAAGGAUGAGAGAAGACUGAGAACAGAAGGCAAAUAGAGGGGUCAUAGUACUGGAGUCUGGAGAAGGUUCAACAGUAGGACUUUGGUGAUAGGAGCAUCCUUGUUCUGAGAAUUCCAUGUCCAGAGAUGACCUGUCUGUGAUGAAUAAGACAAAAUUACUCUACAAGGUACUACAGGGGUAGAAAACUACCAGUGAUGUUUAUCUCUUUACUGAGGGGACUAAGGAAGGGUGCCAAAGAUACUUUUAUUUUUUUAUUGUAAAUAUUUUCUACUGUUUGGUAGUACUGUUUGAUUUUUUUUUUUUUAACUUGUAUGUACUACUCUUUUUUUUUUUUUUUUUUUGAAACAGUCUCACUCUGUUGCCCAGGCUGGAGUGCAGUGGUUCAGUCUCUGCUCACUGUAGCCUCCGUCUCUUGGGUUCAAGUGAUUCUCCUGCCUCAGCCUCCUGAGUAGCUGGGAUUACAGGGCCCACCACCAUGACCAGCUAAUUUGUUUGUAUUUUUAGUAGAGACGGGGUCUCACCGUGUUGGCCAGGCUGGUCUCUUAACUCCUGACCUUAAGUGAUCCGCCUGCCUCAGCCUCCCAAAGUGCUGAGAUUAUGGACCUGAGCCACCUCACCAGGCCUAUACAACUGUUUUGAUUUAAAAAAAAAGAUACAAAGUUUUCAGUGAACCCAAAGAGAAGAGUAGGUUUAUAUGAAAGCAGGGAGAUGAGUGAGCUGCAGAGGUAGGAGGCUGUGGUCCUGGAAUGGGACCCUGGAGUGUAUUAUCUGUCUGUGGAAUCACAAGGUCUUAGAUCUGAAGAGGAGUAGCUGGAAUCUGGUCCCACCCUGCCAUUGUUUACAGGGAAGGAAAUGGGAGCCCUGAGACUUACUCAGCUUGGCAGCAGCAAAACCAGAACCAGAAGCAACCUGUCCUGAUUUCCCAGCCCUCUGGUCUGUUUUUCAUGCUACCUUCUAAGCCCUGGAGGCUUCUCAAUUUCCUGCUGUUCCAGCUGGACUCAUGGCACAUGUGCUCAUGACAUUGCUGGCUGAUGGGGCUGUUUGCCGUACUGUGCUUCCCACACGUUGGUGCUUCUCAGUGUUCAGGGUGUGGGCGGGUGUGUGUAGAGGUGGCUGUACUACUGUCCCCUCCCUAUUUCCUGCCCUCUUCAUAGCCAGGCAAAGUAGCAACUUGGAGGCGGAAAACCACAGUGGUGAUACCCUAUUUACAUCCUUUGCAAUGACCUAGUGUCCCUCCUGUUUUGCCAGCUCUCGUGUUGCUGCCUCCCCCAAACAUCCCUCUCAUAAUUUGUUUAAACAGCAGCCAUGCCCCUGUAUCUACUUCUUUCAGCCCAAACCCAGAUGAGUCACUGAGAGAACUUCGGACAGGGAUUCUUCACCAUGAGAUUGAUGGCAGGGAGUGGAAGAAUUGUAAUUCUGGAGAAACAGCCCUUAAAUUACGGGCAUUGUUCUGGGGAAAAAAGUGCUUUCCUAUUCAGCAGAUCUGCAAAGGCGUCUGUGACUCUCCAAAAGACUACAGAUUUAGGGAGUACAGUGCAGGUGUGUUUUAGAAAAAUAAAUUUUUUAAAAAUUGAAAGAUUAGGUAUUUUUCUGUCUUCCAAGUAAUAGUUCAGAUAAACCUGGUGUUUGUGCGGCCUCUCUUGUUUUGUCAUGAGGUCAGCGAGCCAUGGUAGUUGCAUAUGGAUUAGUUGUGAUUUCUCCUUAUGUGGCAGGCUGAGCCCCAGAGGAUUAGAACUAAAGCUCAGGACUUCGGCUGUCUUUUGGAUGGCUGCCUGGGUAGAUAUGCAGAUGAGCUCUCCGCACAACGAUAUUGGGGCUCCAUCAUGUGUGGGGUUGGGAGUGGGGACAAGAAGUCAGAGGAUGGGGUAUAGUUUUUCCUCACCCUUGCUCCUAGGUUAAGUCCUCAUUGGUCUCCCUGUAGAGUCUCCUGUGGAGAUGGGUUUGUAGCCUGUCUGCUUGGAUGGCCCUACAGAUUGGAUGCCUUGAGUGUGGUCUUUGCCUUGAAGGUUUGCUUGUCCUUUUGUGUUGUAACAAUGUAGUUUUAGGGUUCAAGUAUGGAGUUGUGAAUUGACCUGGACCAGAGUUGCCUCAGAUUCCCUCCUCUUUGCAGAAUGUAGGCAGGUAUUGGUGUGGGGAUCCAGGGUAUUUACUGGUAAGGGAAAGAAUGUGUUUGUUCAUGAUGGUAGGAAAGGCCCCCUUAUUGGCUUGCUUCUUGGCAGACCUAAGAGCUGAGAUACAGCCAUGUGGUAGUGCUCAAGAGGUCUGAGCAGACUUCCUUGAGAUGAUCGGAGCGAUUGGAUUCCCUCUGCCUGCACAUGGGUAACAUUUGAGAUUCCAGUUUGGUUCUGAAUUCUCUCUCAUUGCCUUCUGCCAGGCCACCCUAUCCCUGACAUUGUUAGUGCCAUAAGAAGUCAUGGAUGUUGUGAUGCCGGUGGGAUGAAUAUGGCUCCAGGAAAGAAUAGAAUAGAGAGGGGUUCAUUAAGUUAAGGCUUGGGGCUAUAACAUCAGAGCCACCCUGAAAAUCACAGGGAAGAACCAGCAGGAGGGUGAGAAGAGACAGUGUAUUCAUAUUUUGGCUUUGGCAUUUUUUCUGCAUAGACAAGGGCCUGUAAAGCUAUAUUAGAUACUAUGUAGGUUCAACCCUCCACUGUUAGGGUAAAAUCUACCUUGGAUAGAGAACCUGUUUGGGAAGAAGAAGCAAGAUGGGCGGGUGACCCUGACCUUCUCUGAGGUAUCAGUUGCAUCAUCUCAGGCCUCCUCUGCCUGAUCCUUCUGUCAUCUGCUCCAUUAGCUCCUAGGCUUUUGCAAAACUGGAAACCCUUCAUCUGGAGCCCUCAAGAGCAGUACUACUUAAUAUGUCAAUCUGCAAUGAGAUAAGAAGCAUAUUUACCAGAAUGUAAGACUGAUCUCUUCAUCAAGAAAAUCUUGUAUGAAAAAAUGUUAGAACUAGACAGUGUGUUUACUCUGACAUGAUUGAUUUACAUUCAGGCUUCAUGUAAGUUUUCUAUAUAGUGACCAGCCAGUAACACAGUUUGCAGAUUGGCAGCUAAUCUGCAGACCGUACUUGGAAUAGCAAUGCUCUAGAGCUGCCUGUCAUUCAGAAGCAGUUGUUGAGGUCAUGGAAUUGUUUGUUUGGUACAGGCCAAGGGCAGCCAGAAAUAUAGAGCUGUCACCCAGAGCAUUCAGAAGAGCUGGUUAAGAAGAGCUGUCACCCAGAGCAUUCAGACAUGGGUCAGGGCAGCUACUGAGGAAAAGAGGGGCACAAUGAGAAUUUAACAGCUGAACAGAUGAUCAGGCAGUGCCUAUGCCAAGGGUAGAUGCCAUGUCCUCCCUUUCCUUUACCACAGGCAUGUGAGCUGAGGGACUAGAGCUAGGGUCUUGGUUUUGCCUGUUGCUUCUAAUGGCAAGUUGGCCGCACCAAGCUUACCCUGUCUUCCCAGGAAAACGGCAUACACUGGAGAAGAAUGUGUUGGUUGUCUCUGUAGUCACACCUGGAUGUAACCAGCUUCCUACUUUGGAGUCGGUGGAGAAUUAUACCCUGACCAUAAAUGAUGACCAGUGUUUACUCCUCUCUGAGACUGUCUGGGGAGCUCUCCGAGGUAACAAAUUGGGGCUGAUUAAAAGAGAGAGAGAAAGGAUGAUGUGGGAAGGUUGGUGUUGGUGGAGUGCAGUGUCCCAGUCCCUGCUCACUGCAACCUCUGCCUCCUAGGCUCAAGCAAUCUUCCCUCUUUAGCCUCCCAAGUAGCUGGGAUUACAGGUGCCUGCCACCAUGCCCAGCUAAUUCUUAUAUUUUUAGUAGAGAUGGGAUUUCACCAUAUUGCCCAGGCCAGUCUUGAACUCCUGAGUUCAAGUGAUCCACCCAUCUCGGCCUCCCAAAGUUCUGGGAUUACAUGUGUGUGCCACCACGCCCAGCCAGGAAGCUUUUUUUAUGGGAACAAUUGGCAUGUUUUCCCGUCUCUGUGGAGCUGUCCCUGGAAGUUGACAGGUUUUACCCUGUGCAGCAUCAGCAACUGCUGCUGCCCUGGUCCGGGGCUCUGGGAAGCAGUGGGAGAGUCUGCGGGCUGAUGCUGUAGGUGCCAGCAGGGGACAGGUAGCUGGCGGGCAGGGGGAAUGAUGCUACCACAGACACUGCCUGUCCAGCUCUUGCUAAAGACAUGUAAUUGGAAAGGUUUUUUUAAAAGGAAAACUAUAACGAAAGAAAUAGAUACAUGCAAAAAAAAGAUAAAUAGUAGUGAAAUAUUUAGAACUACAUUAUUUCUGGAGAAAAUGAGUUUACUGGCUAAACUAUUGGCCCUUGUCCUUCUUCUGGGUUUACUGAGAAGGUAUUUGGUGCCUAGAUACAGACUUAGCCAAGUAUCUGUCCCACUUUUGGUAAACCCUCUGCUGGUGAAUGAUGAGGGAAACUCUCUCGGAAUUUCACACCUUGCUUUAGUUUGUCUUCAUUCCCUUGCCCCACUUCUAUGCUUGGAGCAACAGCGUGCUGCCUCCCCUUCCUGCCCUCUUGUACCUUUCAUGCAGGUGCUGAUGGUGAAUCAGGCUAGAGGUAAGGGAGCACCUGGAACUCCAGAAUGCUGGGUGUCAGAGUCAGAGUGGGGAGAAGCCGAAACAGUACACUAGCAGUCUGCUCAAAUCAGGUGCUGAGUGACUGCUGAGGUCUCAUGGAUUCUUUCACUUUGAAACUGGGGACUCUGAUAAUUUUCAUGGGGCUUCUGCAGGGUUUCCAGAAGAGGGGCCCCAGCUUUUGAGAACAUACAAUGCUCUGGAUUCAACAUACCUGUGUGUGGGCCUUGCUAGACUCUAGGAGACAGUGUCAGUGGACUAGGGGAGUCCUUCUGGGGCAGUUGCUGUCCACCACACCUCAGCUCCCUAUAGCUGGGUCUCUUCUCAGUCUCUGAAGAGGAAGAGUGGAUGAUUUUUUUUUAUCUUCUAGGUCCAGCCAUGAACCCAGACUCCUUGGAAACCCAAGCUUAUGAUCACUUUCUCACAAUUUAUUCUGGGACCCCUUUUCUCAGCUCUCUUAGCUCCUGAUACGGGUUAUCCAUGAAAAGCCCAACUCUUGCAGGCUGACUUGUCUCUGUGUCUGUCCUCAUGAGUAUAUGUCUUGGCCUCUCUUCUCAAUAUUCUUGUCAAGGCACAGGAAAUAUAGAUAAGAGGUAUGUGGAUUUUGAAGGUUAGUAUGUUGUAAGGAGGGGCACUAAAACCCUUACUCUGACAUCUCCCAAAAUGAAAUACAGAAGUAAAGAUGGAUACUGGCUUCCUAAUAUCCCCUUUUCAUCAGCGUUAAAAAUCGUCAAGCCUACACUACAUCCAUUUUCACUGUGUACCCAAACGUUAUGCUCUGCUACAUUGAGAACCUUCCAAAUAGAGACAUCUCUUUUUCCACUCCCUGAGUCUUUACUCUGCCUCUCUACUUCUUCCUAGGUCUGGAGACUUUUAGCCAGCUUGUUUGGAAAUCUGCUGAGGGCACAUUCUUUAUCAACAAGACUGAGAUCGAGGACUUUCCCCGCUUUCCUCACCGGGGCUUGCUGUUGGAUACAUCUCGCCAUUACCUGCCACUCUCUAGCAUCCUGGACACUCUGGAUGUCAUGGCGUACAAUAAAUUGAACGUGUUCCACUGGCAUCUGGUAGAUGAUCCUUCCUUCCCAUAUGAGAGCUUCACUUUUCCAGAGCUCAUGAGAAAGGGGUCCUACAACCCUGUCACCCACAUCUACACAGCACAGGAUGUGAAGGAGGUCAUUGAAUACGCACGGCUCCGGGGUAUCCGUGUGCUUGCAGAGUUUGACACUCCUGGCCACACUUUGUCCUGGGGACCAGGUAUCCCUGGAUUACUGACUCCUUGCUACUCUGGGUCUGAGCCCUCUGGCACCUUUGGACCAGUGAAUCCCAGUCUCAACAAUACCUAUGAGUUCAUGAGCACAUUCUUCUUAGAAGUCAGCUCUGUCUUCCCAGAUUUUUAUCUUCAUCUUGGAGGAGAUGAGGUUGAUUUCACCUGCUGGAAGUCCAACCCAGAUAUCCAGGACUUUAUGAGGAAGAAAGGCUUCGGUGAGGACUUCAAGCAGCUGGAGUCCUUCUACAUCCAGACGCUGUUGGACAUCGUCUCUUCUUAUGGCAAGGGCUAUGUGGUGUGGCAGGAGGUGUUUGAUAAUAAAGUAAAGGUACCCCUGAGCAGAAGGCUCUGGUGAUUGGUGGAGAGGCUUGUAUGUGGGGAGAAUAUGUGGACAACACAAACCUGGUCCCCAGGCUCUGGCCCAGAGCAGGGGCUGUUGCCGAAAGGCUGUGGAGCAACAAGUUGACAUCUGACCUGACAUUUGCCUAUGAACGUUUGUCACACUUCCGCUGUGAGUUGCUGAGGUAAGCAAGCUGUGGGGCCUUCGCAAGGCGGAGUAGGGCAGAUCCAGGGCUGGGGAACCCCUUAGAGAGAGGAAGAGAAUAAUUAACAAUAGCUAACACUUACAGAGGCUUAUAGUCGGCCCUCAUCCACGGAUUCAGCCAACUGCGAUAAAAAGUAUUCAGG
Molecule: small RNA, 6930 nt
Filed under: Pongo abelii (Sumatran orangutan)
Lineage: Eukaryota; Metazoa; Chordata; Mammalia; Primates; Hominidae
Description: retained intron
Source: RNAcentral